GACCACGCGCCCCUCUCGAGCCCCGCCCACUCCGACCUCUUUGUUCGAUUUCUUCAGAGCGCGCGACGGCUUCGCCCCCACCGAUGGGGAGGGGGAAGCUGUGGAAAGAAGCGGCGCUAUCCCAUCAUGCACCACGCCCCCAACAGACAGUAGUAAAAGUCAAUGCAAACUAACUUCAAAAAAAAAAAGAGAAGA
Long non-coding RNA from Crotalus tigris (Tiger rattlesnake), 195 nucleotides. RefSeq lists it as uncharacterized. The transcript has 2 exons. The record is from RefSeq and is a predicted model, not a curated record. Lineage: Eukaryota; Metazoa; Chordata; Lepidosauria; Squamata; Viperidae.